Sebastes umbrosus (honeycomb rockfish) is the source of this 407-nucleotide long non-coding RNA. RefSeq lists it as uncharacterized. The record is from RefSeq and is a predicted model, not a curated record. NCBI's taxonomy places the organism in Eukaryota, Metazoa, Chordata, Actinopteri, Perciformes, Sebastidae. The transcript is spliced from 3 exons.
AUUUAGUCUCAGCCUGAUCUUCAGCAGAGGUGAAGUUGGAGUGACAUCUGGUGGUGCGCUGUCACAAUUGCACAAUAGACACUAGUAAGGGCACUAAGCAGCAGAUCAGGCACUUGUUAGGUGAGAUGAUAAAGGUAGUAGGUGUGUCAGUGUCAGGUGAUGCACCAGGAAGAGACCACUGGAGCAAGAGAGAGGCAGCAUGGUGAUGUAUUUUGAUGUGCUCCAUGAAGUUUCAUCAUCCUGAAUAAGUGGAUAAACAACGCUACCAAUAGUAGUUCCAGUCGAUCUCAACAGCAGCGAUGUAAUAGUGUCUCUCCUUGGGUGGCUGCUGGUCUGCUUUGACAUGGAGGACAGUCAGAAGAACCAGGACAGGCAGGAGACAGCGAGCUCCAGCCCAGGCACAGAGC